CUUGUCUCAAAGCUUAAGCCAUGCAAGUAUCAGUACAAACUGAACUAAAGUGAAACCGCCAAAAGCUCAGUAAAUCAGUUCUCAUUUCACGAGAUAAAGAAUUACAAAAUGAAUAACCACGGUAAUUCUGGAGCUAAUACAUGCAACACAAAAAUAUUUCUCAUGCGAAUGGGAAAAAAAUGCUCUUAUUGUUCCACAAGACCAAUCGCCCAUCAAAGGGCAUCGAUCUACACUCUAAAUAAUUCAAAUAGAUCGGACGAUCUAAUCGGCGCUAUACCUUUUCAAAUGCCUAAUUUAUUAAACUUACGAUGGUACACUUUGUGUCCACCAUGGCCCUCAUGGGUAACGGAGAAUUGGGGUUCCACUCCGGAGAGGGAGCCUGAGAAACGGCUACCACAUCCAAGGAAGGCAGCAGGCACGCAAAUUACCCAAUCCCGGCACGGGGAGGUGGUGACAAUAAAUACCAAUACGGGACUCUUCUGAGGCCCCGUAAUUGGAAUGAGUGCACAUUAAACCCUUGAACAAGGAUCCAUUGGAGGGAAAGUCUGGUGCCAGCAGCCGCGGUAAAUCCAGCUCCAAUAGCGUAUAUUAAAUUUGCUGCGGUUAAAGGGACAGGCGGCUUAUAGCUGCACGAGAUUGAGCAAUAACAGGUCAGUGAUGCCCUUAGAUGUCCUGGGCCGCACGCGUGCUACACUGAAAGAAUCAGCGUGUGUCUCCUAGGCUGAGAGGCCCGGGUAACCAGCUGAACCUCUUUCGUGCUAGGAAUUGGGGCUUGCAAUUGUUGCCCAUGAACGAGGAAUUCCCAGUAAGCGUGAGUCAUAAGCUUGCGUUGAUUACGUCCCUGCCCUUUGUACACACCGCCCGUCGCUACUACCGAUUGAAUGAUCUAGUGAGGUUCUCGGACUGGCGCUAAUCUUUGCUUGAUAUUUACUAUCGGUAUCGAUGAACGUUGGAAAGAUGACCGAAUUUGAUCAUUUAGAGGAAGUAAAAGUCGUAACAAGGUUUCCCUUGGCAAAUGCUUUCGCAAAAAGCUCGUAGUUGGUACUACUACAUUACUGCAACACUGUUGGUUCGCCGCCUGUUGGUGUGUGUUACUGGCAUGCUGUUGCUUGACCUGUCGGCUGAAAUAGAAACGGGAAACCUUUCAUGAAUGGUGUUGCGUUGAGGGGAGCCGACGUUUUGGAUUAAUCUUUUAAUCUAGCGCCGUCCUCCAGCCGGGCCUGUGUGGUUGUUGUUUACCCGAUUAUUCAUCCCAUUCUUUCGUGAGCUCUUGACUGAGUUUCGAUUGGUAUGGGGCCGACACGUCGACACUUUGAACAAAUUAGAGUGCUCAAAGCAAGCUCAAAUUUCUGCCUGAAUAAUGGUGCAUAGAAUAAGAGAAAAGGACCUUGUUCGUUCUAUUCUGUUGGUCUCCGGAACACAGGGUAAUGAUCAAUAAGGACUGUCGGGGGCAAUCGUAUUGCGGCGUUAGAGGUGAAAUUCUUGGAUCGUCGCAAGACGCUCAAAAGCGAAAGCAAUUGCCAAGUAUGUCUUAAUUGAUCAAGAACGAAAGUUAGAGGUUCGAAGGCGAUCAGAUACCGCCCUAGUUCUAACCAUAAACGAUGCCAGCCAGCGAUCCGCCGAUGUUCUUUCUUUAUGAUGACUCGUGCGGGAAGCUCCUCCCCGGGAAACCAAAGCUUUCGGGUUCUGGGGGGAGUAUGGUUGCAAAGCUGAAACUUAAAGGAAUUGACGGAAGGGCACCACCAGGAGUGGAGCCUGCGGCUUAAUUUGACUCAACACGGGAAACCUCACCAGGUCAGGACAUUGAAAGGAUUGACAGAUUGAUGGCUCUUUCUCGAUUCUGUGGGUAGUGGUGCAUGGCCGUUCUUAGUUGGUGGAACGAUUUGUCUGGUUAAUUCUGAUAACGAACGAGACUCUAGCCUAUUAACUAGGCAGUUACGGUAUUGUGAGCUACCGGUGAUAAUAUAUUCUUCUU
Molecule: ribosomal RNA, 1975 nt
Filed under: Baclozygum brachypterum
Lineage: Eukaryota; Metazoa; Arthropoda; Insecta; Hemiptera; Thaumastocoridae
Description: bacterial SSU rRNA
Rfam family: Eukaryotic small subunit ribosomal RNA
Source: RNAcentral